GCGGCGUGCUUAACACAUGCAAGUCGAACGGAAAGGCCCUGCUUUUGUGGGGUGCUCGAGUGGCGAACGGGUGAGUAACACGUGAGUAACCUGCCCUUGACUUUGGGAUAACUUCAGGAAACUGGGGCUAAUACCGGAUAGGAGCUCCUGCUGCAUGGUGGGGGUUGGAAAGUUUCGGCGGUUGGGGAUGGACUCGCGGCUUAUCAGCUUGUUGGUGGGGUAGUGGCUUACCAAGGCUUUGACGGGUAGCCGGCCUGAGAGGGUGACCGGCCACAUUGGGACUGAGAUACGGCCCAGACUCCUACGGGAGGCAGCAGUGGGGAAUAUUGCACAAUGGGCGGAAGCCUGAUGCAGCAACGCCGCGUGCGGGAUGACGGCCUUCGGGUUGUAAACCGCUUUCGCCUGUGACGAAGCGUGAGUGACGGUAAUGGGUAAAGAAGCACCGGCUAACUACGUGCCAGCAGCCGCGGUGAUACGUAGGGUGCGAGCGUUGUCCGGAUUUAUUGGGCGUAAAGGGCUCGUAGGUGGUUGAUCGCGUCGGAAGUGUAAUCUUGGGGCUUAACCCUGAGCGUGCUUUCGAUACGGGUUGACUUGAGGAAGGUAGGGGAGAAUGGAAUUCCUGGUGGAGCGGUGGAAUGCGCAGAUAUCAGGAGGAACACCAGUGGCGAAGGCGGUUCUCUGGGCCUUUCCUGACGCUGAGGAGCGAAAGCGUGGGGAGCGAACAGGCUUAGAUACCCUGGUAGUCCACGCUGUAAACGGUGGGUACUAGGUGUGGGGUCCAUUCCACGGGUUCCGUGCCGUAGCUAACGCUUUAAGUACCCCGCCUGGGGAGUACGGCCGCAAGGCUAAAACUCAAAGGAAUUGACGGGGCCCCGCACAAGCGGCGGAGCAUGCGGAUUAAUUCGAUGCAACGCGUAGAACCUUACCUGGGUUUGACAUGGAUCGGGAGUGCUCAGAGAUGGGUGUGCCUCUUUUGGGGUCGGUUCACAGGUGGUGCAUGCCUGUCGUCAGCUCGUGUCGUGAGAUGUUGGGUUAAGUCCCGCAACGAGCGCAACCCUUGUUCACUGUUGCCAGCACGUUAUGGUGGGGACUCAGUGGAGACCGCCGGGGUCAACUCGGAGGAGGGUGGGGAUGACGUCAAGUCCUCAUGCCCCUUAUGUCCAGGGCUUCACGCAUGCUACAAUGGCUGGUACAGAGAGUGGCGAGCCUGUGAGGGUGAGCGAAUCUCGGAAAGCCGGUCUCAGUUCGGAUUGGGGUCUGCAACUCGACCUCAUGAAGUCGGAGUCGCUAGUAAUCGCAGAUCAGCAACGCUGCGGUGAAUACGUUCCCGGGGCUUGUACACACCGCCCGUCAAGUCAUGAAAGUUGGUAACACCCGAAGCCGGUGGCCUAACCGUUGUGGGGGAGCCGUCGAAGGUGGGACUGGUGAUUAGG
Molecule: ribosomal RNA, 1433 nt
Filed under: uncultured organism
Description: 16S ribosomal RNA
Rfam family: Bacterial small subunit ribosomal RNA
Source: RNAcentral